Molecule: non-coding RNA, 469 nt
Organism: Megalopta genalis
Lineage: Eukaryota; Metazoa; Arthropoda; Insecta; Hymenoptera; Halictidae
Source: RefSeq, a predicted model, not a curated record
CAGUUCACAGUCGUAGUUAUUGAAAUGUGCGCAGCGACAUGAAAAAUGUGACGUUUGUUUACUAUGACACCAAAGAGUUUAUUAAAAAAUCAUUUCGUUUAAAAGUUACGAGAAGUAGAAGAGACGUAAUUCGUGCCGACACCUGUCGGCCAAUUAACAUCUACCAUGUCCACCGACCUGUAUUUUGCAACAGUCAAAUCACUGAGAGAAUUAACGAUACUCGUGGAAAAUAUCAACGAACCAAUGAGUUGUCCAACGAUCUUUGAAAAUUCUAGAAAAAUAUUUGUAAGGCGACAAAACAUUCGAACACUUUUCAACCGUCCAGAAGACGACGACGACGACGACAACAGUAGAGAAUACUAUGAAAAUGUUGACGAAGGAGAAGAGUACAGUCCCGGACAGAAGUACAGUCGAUGGUAUGAAAAUAUACUUUACCACAGCUUGCAUAUUGAAUGCCAAGCAUAUUGAA